UUGUCGUUUCCAUGGAAAUAAAUAGGAAGCAUUACUUUUGGAGUGACCUACAUAAAUGCAGCUCAAGACAAUUUCUCUUCACUUAGUGCCCAGGCAAGCCAAAAGGUUGGACACACAUUGUUUAUGUGAUACAUGCUGCUGCCGCCCCUUUUAGACCACAGUUCUAGAUUUAAAAAGAAUACAAAAUAGUCCUUUUAAAAAUAAAUACUGUUAUGAUUCUGUGCAUUCAUGUCUUUACAUAAGCCUACUUUUGUGGGCAGAUAGGAAUUUAGUCAAAUUUUACUUUAGACUUUCAUUACAUUUUCAAAUGCAAAAUUGUUUUAAAACUCCCAGGGAGAUGUAAUCAGCUGCUUUCAUUCUAUUCUUUCCUGAUCUUCAAAAAACAAUUGAGAUUGUUGGAUAUCUAUGUGCUCAGACACUCAGGAUUUAUUUUUCUUGCAUUCUGUUAGCCAGUGAGUAUCAGAAAUAAUGGGCGUUCUUGACCUUGUCUGUGUUAACCUGGUUCUUCUAUCAGUCUGUAUGGAUUACAUUUUCUUUCCCCCUGGCUGUUAUCAGCAGCCACCUUUGGAAGGUAUAAACUAUUGAAAAUUUUUGUGAUGUUGCUCUUGGGGAAUCAAGCUUUAGACAUUUUAGAGUUAUUAGUUUUACAGCCUCACCUGCUCUUCUCUACCUCUGUUUUCCUUUGAUUUGCUUAUCUUUGUUCCUUUGACUUUUCUUAUGUAACAUUAGAAGGGUUUUUUUGUUGUACAUUUUUCUGUGUCUUUACUGAUGCAAGCUUUCUUGCUUGGCUGCCUGCCACCAUUUCCUUCAUCUCUACUAGAUGCUUUCUUUUGCCACAGUUCUGAGCAGUUUUUCUUGAGAAAGGCUCUUGCACAAUUUAAGUGUUGCAUUCAGUUUUGCUUUUAAUCUGUUGCACCUGAAUUUAUUGCUUUUUGCCUACCAACUUUAUUACACGUUGUUUGAUCUUUACAUUUCAUGUCUUACUGCUUUAGCCUAUCCUACUGGUAGUCUGAUGUUGCAAAUUUUCCAAAACAAAUGGGUUAGGUUUUUCAAGCAUCCUGCAAAUGGUGUUUCCAAUCCAAAUUAUUUUACGUUAUUUUAACUUAAAUAAACACUUCUAAUUCAGUAAUUGGUAAAAUGCUUCAUUGACAUAUACUGCUCACAUAAAGUUAAGACAGAAGUCCUUGAAAUUGAGAGAUCCAGUAUUCAUGUUUUAAAAAAAAAAAAAGUGAAGGCAAAGUGAUGUGCCUACACACUAUUUCAGGUUUAGUCACAUUAUGAUGAGUGACUUUCCAUAUGCACCAACCAUCUACACAUUUCAUGUGUUGUGGGUAGGUUUUGAGCCAAAGAUUCCGUUAAUCUGUUUUCUGAAUAACUGCCUCCACAUCCAUUCAUUAUUUCUCAUUAUAUAAGAUUGAAUCCUAUCCUUUUGUUGAAUUUGAUAUAUAACCACUUGCCCCUGUUAGUACCACUAGGUAGGUUUCCUCUAUACUGGGUACAAUUUACUCAAUUUACAGUGACACUCUGUAACAAAAUCAGUGCCAUUUGGCCUUGGGUAAUGUGCAUAAUUGGCCACCCUGUGGCGAAGGCAACAACAGAAGUCAAUAUAUUUAUCACAAGUACAGUUGCCAAAGUCUAGAAAACUUCAUAACUGUUGGUCCUGCAGAUUCUGAUGCCCAUUGCUUUCUUGGUGACUUCUUCACUCUUGAAAAGUGAAUCCAGUUGGGUUGUUACCUGAUCUUGACUGCAGUAAACACUGUCUGCAGUGCUCAGAAUGGUCCAUUCCACUUCUCUUCCAGUGGCUGACCUGAAAAAGCUUUAGUGUACACUCAGUCUUCUGGUUUAAAGGGGUGAAUUUGUUGAUCUAAAUCUCUAUUUCUGACACCCAAAACCGCUUUGUUAAUUUUGCUUAACUGAUUUCCCAAUGCAAUCAUAUAACUCUGUAAAUAGUUUGCACCCAAUUGAUUCAGAGCCUCCCCUUUAAACUGAUAUUGGUAAGGUCUACCAUGCAGUAUUUCAAAAGGACUCAAACUCUAUUUAGAUCUUGUUUUACCCUAGUUCUCAUCAAGUCUAUAGGGAGUGCUUGAUGCCAAUAAAUAAAGCUAAUAAAUUAGCUUCCUGACAGAUUUCAGCUAUUUCAUAUUUUAUCAAAUGAUUCACCUUUUCGACUUGCCUGCUUGCUUGUGGUCAAUAGGGCGUGUGCAAUUGCCAGUCAAUUCCCAGCAUUUUACUGACUUGAUGUACUGCUUGCCCACAAAAGACAGGGUUACUCUCUGACGAUAUCAUGACAGGUACCCCAGACUGAGGUAUUAUUUCAUUUAAUAACACUCUUAGAACUUCUCUUGCCUUAUUUGCCCUACAAGGAAAAGCUUCUGGCCAACAUGAAAAAGUGCCUGUCAGCACCAGAGAGUACUGAUACCUCCCCCUUUUCUAGGAAGUUCUGAGAAAUCUAUUUGCCACUGCUGUCCUGGAACGUUGCCUUUCCCUGCUUGUACCCUGUUCCUGGUAUUAGGAUUGUUCUUCAAACAGAUUUCACAUUGUUGAGUAACCUGUUUCAGUGUGGUGUACAGAUUACAACCAACAAUUACUUUGUUCAAAUACUUACAAAGAGUAUCUUCUCCCCAAUGUGUUUUAUUAUGUUCCUGGAGAACCAUUUUCCUUAUGAUGCCAAAAGGUGCAACAAUGCAUCCAUCUGGUAUAGAGGCCCAUCUGUUGGUUCGCAUCUUUCCUUCUAAAUGAUUAAAUUCCUAUCUUCUUUAGAAUAUUUUACAGGUUCUGACUCAAGUUCAGUGAUUUGAAGUUUACUGUCUGGAGUUAAAGUCAGUUCACCAGUUUCUUUUCCUUCAGCUGCCUGUUUUGCUGCCCAAUCCAUCAUCUUAUUUCCAAUUUCCUGUACAGUGUUACCCUUCUGAUGUCCUUUACAAUGUAUUGUAGCCAUGCUCUUUGGUAGAUUUACAGCUUCCAACAGAUGCAAAAUUUCUUUGGCAUGCUUAAUUUGUUCUCCUUGUGUUGUAAGCAAUCCUCACUCUUUCCAAAUGACACCAUGGGCAUGUACCACCCCAAAUGCAUAUUUAGGAUCAGUCCAUAUGUUUAUCCCUUUUCCUUUUGCCAAGUCUAAAGCUCUUGUCAAGGCAGUUAUUUCAGCCUUCUGAGCAGAAGUCCCUGCAAGUAAUGGUUUUGCUUUGAUUACCUUGUCAGUAGUGGUUACUGCAUAUCCUGCCUUAGUUUCCUUGUCUCACAAAACUGCUUCUGUCUGUGAACCAGGAAUCUUCCGCAUCGUCUGUUGGUUCCUUCUUUAGGUCCAGCUUUCUUUCAUAGACAAUCUCCAUAGUUUCCAAACAGUGGUGCGCUACUGGCUCGGAGGUAGCUCCUCUGAGGAAAGAUGCUGGGUUCACAGUGUUAGUAGUCACUAUGUUGACAUCCUCUUGUUCUGCCAUUAUGGCCUGAUAUUUCAAAAAAUCUAGAAGGGGGAAGAUAAUGGCUUCCCUUCUGUUCCAGAACUGUGGAAACCAAGUGGGAUACCAAUACAGUCAUUUUCCGACCUGAAGUAAAUUUGUAAGCUUCCUGGAUAUUACUAACAACUGCUGCCACUGCCCAUAGGCACCCAGGCCAACCUCUGCGAACUUCAUUCAAUUGCUUUGAUAUGGGUUGGAUUGUUAGCAAUAGGGAUUAGUACAUUAGUUUAAGAACCAGUAUGUUAGUUUAGCAAAAGGAAUCUGUAAGUGAUAGUUCUAAAACUUUCCAUUUCAGCUUUAGUGGGUGAGCAGUCUUGUUUUUCCUCAAUAAUUUUGCACUGAGGACAUAAUAGAAUACUUUUAUCUUCUGCCGCAAUGAUUUUGCCUCAUGGGAAGUACUGGAGUCACAACAAAAUACUUUUGUCUUUUGCCUCACAAUGUGCAAGGACAUUUUCUUUGGGUUCUGCAUACAUUGUUUUUAAAAAGUGGUUCACUAUGGCCUAAUAACCAAUGGAAAUUUUCCAGGGUGGAUGAAAGUGAGUCAAAGACCUCAGUGAUGAAGGUGAUGGUGAAAUGUGGGGAAGAAGGAGGUGGGCAGUAGACCACCCUAGAUACCACUGAGCACGCCCAAAGGGACAUUAGCACUUAUUCGUUCUUUUUCAAGGACUCAUAAAUAUAUAUGUCAAUGUACUGCAUAUGUAUGUCUUAACUGUUCAAAUGUAGAACCUGAACCUGAGAGGGUGUGCUUGCUUGUCAAGUCCUCUGGUACAUAUUGUGAGGAAUAAAGGAAUGCCACUUUCUAACACCACAUUGGAGUUAGAGAGUUUUCUUCCUGGAUUUUGGAUUACCCAGAUGGGACACUGCGGCUGAGAUCUUGUGGUCUGAAGGACCAGAGGGGACCUCUGUUCAGCAUGCACACUGAGUGAUUCUUGGGGAGCUCCCCUCUGAUCCCAGUUCUGUCGGGUCUGGCCACAAGUUCCCUGGAUUAUGGUAAGGCAUUCCAUUCCUUUUUAUUGCCUCCAGUAAAUCAUGUAUGUAUCACAUACGGAGAGCAAGGGUAAUGAGAUGCCAGGGUACCCUAUUACAUGAUAUCAGGGAGACAACCUGAGUGUGAUAGGGGCCCAAGGUUCAAGUUCCUGGGCUAGGAAAUUGGGUACUUGAGAGAGUCAAGUCCCUGAGUAUGGUAAAGGUGUAAUGUAAAGGAGGUUCUGAUGUCCCCCAGAGAAUUGCAGUAAAAGGUGUACUUGCUCCCCUAAAAGAUACUGAAACGUUUGUUGGUAAUUGUGUUGCAUUAUGGUUGCUGGCAUUGUGAUUUUGUAUGUAAGCACAGGUGUGUGAUUAUCACUGCAACAGCACUGAGCUGUUUAUUUUUUUUCUCCCCUCUUUAUGGUGUGUAUGUGGUGAAUCUGCAUAUUGUGUUAAGCUUUGCUUUUUACUUCUGUGGCUGCAGCGGUGUGUGUGUGUUAAUGAUGCAUAAAGGCAAUUCACAAAUUCCAGACAUGGAGGAGUUGGUUGUGGAAACUGCAGAGGAAACUUGUUGAAAAUUGUAAUUUUAAUCACUUCUCCAAUCCACCAGUUAUUACUUGUAGAAUCCUGAGAUCUGAGGAAAAAUAACAAGUUAAGUUCCUCUCUUGCUAGGGGUAUUGGUUAUGGCUCUCCCUGAAGGAAUUAGGUGUACAAGCGUGCCUUGAGGAAGCUGGCAGACUCCAUUUCCUAGCAAUUAGAGGAGGGUCAGCUGUCCAACAUAGAGCGUACUGGAGGUUGUGAUCUGCGCCAGCCAAUGCAGAUGGGUGCCGGCACGAAAACACCCCCGCACCACACAGCCCCCUGCUGUGUCUCAGAAACGGAACUCUCGGAGAGAGCGAGCCGGGGGCUGCAGCUACCUGCUGUAAAGUGUGUUACUCCCCAGUGGGGGGGACGGGGAACAGGACACUGGAAGCGAGAAUAGCCUUCAUCUGCAGAAAUCUACGAAACCCGAUAUCCCAAUGUCUCAGCUUGAUCAGCUUGCAGUUUCUGAGUGCCCUGGGGCUUAUGAGAAAUAAAUCUGCGGUAUGGAUUCUACUUCUGCAGAACUCUUAAAUUUUUGUGUCUGCAUGACAUAUGGUGCAUGAUGCACGAUUUGCUUUCAGAGCAGGCAAACGUGAAAUACACGUGAAAGCCUCAGAAAACUGCCAGUAUUUGCAGAGGGCAGGGUCAGGGAAAGGGUCGGGCCUGCCCCGGGGCAGUCGCUUCUCUUGCCAUUGGUUGUGUCCUCCAGUAAUGUGAAUGACGAAUGAUGGGAAAAGGGUGGGACUAAGUCUAACUCUCCUCCUCAAAGCCUUCGAGUUUGCACAGAUAGUGUAGUUGUAGUGGAAUUCAUCUUGCUGAAGAGCUAAGCUGAACUUUUGAACUCAGGGAGCUUUAAAUACAGCACAUGACACCUGAAAGGCCUUGGCAGUAUAGGUGAGUUCCACUCUCCUUGCUUCAUAGAUGGGAAAAUGAAGCUACAGAAGAGAGAAAUAAUUUCCUUGAUGUCGCAUGGCUGAAAACUAGGGCAUGAAGAUCCCGUGCACUGACUUGUUCUCCUAGGUCCUAUGUGAUUUGAACUGGCAGUUAGUCCAGGGGAGCUGAUUGUUAUUCUACCAACCCUCUUCCUCCUCAUGCUGCCUAGUACUGCUUGCUUUUAGUGCCUAAACAGUGGUAGAAAAGUGCAACUUUGGAAACUCAAGCUGCAGGGAAUGUGUAUAUUUCUGUGCAUGUCUAAUUAGAAGGAAAAUUGUAAAACACAUUUUGCAUUAUAUCACAUACUGUGCUGACAAGGUCUUUUCAUUUUCUGGCAACUUCCAUGUAAGUCACCUCUACCAGGCAUGUUCCUAGUAGACUUACUGGAGUUCCUGGCACUCUCCCUCUUAACAUAAAUAGUUAGCGGGAAAUUGCUCAUCUUUGUUUCCUUGCUGUCUUCCAUGAUGCAUAACAAUGUAUUAAAACAGCCGCUUCCUUUUUCUGUACCAUCUUCAUACACUUGUUACUUGAGUUUAUCUGGUGAAUUGUACAAUAACAAAACCAAACAAGCAAAUAAAAAAAAUCCUAUUCACUGAAGAACUUGUGUCCACAAAGCUACAGGACAAUGGUCUCAAAGUAUGGGAAGGGCUGGUUGUUUCCCAUGAGGGAAUUUUGAAAGACUCCAGGUUUUCCCAGUUCAGAAAUGUGGAUUGGCUCAGGCCUUCCCCUGGGAUCCUGGUUUGGAUUCCCUCUCCCAGCCGCUCCUCAGUGCUGGCAUCAGAGUACAGACUAGGGCAGAGCUCAGAAUCCCUCAGAAAUUAAAAUGUAUGGAUGCCUUUGGCAGCAUGCAGGCAAAAAAGCUGGUUUGCUUUGUAAAGGAAGGUGGAGGCCUGCUCAUUGGAGGCCAGACUUGGCACUGGGCUAGUCUACACGGCAAGGAGAAAAUGCUGUUUAAAUUCCCUGGGAACCAGUGUGGUGUGUGUUUCACAGCUCGCAAGGGAGAGAUUGGCACUUUCUCUGUGUCCAAAGAAAUGCCAAGGAUUCCUCUGAUCACCCAAGGUUAAUAUCCUUUUCUUGACAAUUUCUUGAAAUGACUGUUGGGGAAAGCUCUUGACUGUAUCACUUUUAACAAAGGGCAAAGGAAUGGCUACAUCUCCAACUGUAUCUGUUCAGACUGGUGGAAGAAAUUAAGCCCCACAACUACAACUACCAGCUGGACUCACCUUCCUCUGUCUCCCAUUCAAAUACUAUGAACAACUAUUCAAGUAUAGUUCAGGGUUGAACUCUGGCAUCAAGCAACAACUCUGAUGGCUGAGAAGGAACAGUUGCAUCAUCUCCUUAUGUUUGAGUACGAUUUUGUGUAUUCUAGUAAAAUCAGCAACUAGACCCUGAAUUUGAGUCUGAAAUGCUUCAUGCAUUUGGAGAUGUGUUUCAGCAACAAAAAGCUCAUGAAGCUACACUGUAACUUCUUUACUGAUUGUAGUUCCCAUUUUUUGCAUUGUGACAGUUUAAAACAAUCCUGGGAAAUGUGGCUUUUUGGAAUGAAAUUGUACAUCUGUUGUAGCUUGGGUGGGGAUUUCUUCUGAGACGUCUUUCUGAUUUUGCAUAUAUAUCUCUUCAGCCAUUUCCCUUAAUUGCCACCUUCCAACAUCUGCUCCAGUCUGAAAUCAGGCUAAGCAAUAACCUGGCCAUUUUUCCACAAGGUAAUGACAGGUAAGUGGAGAUAUAUAACAACGUUUGAAAUUAUAUAUGUGCAAAUGAACUAAUAAAUAGAUAAAUAAUUUAUUAUGGCUGCUAAGGACAUUAACUUGCCGAGCUACUACAUCUGUACCUCCAUCUUACAAUACCAAACGGAGCAGGCACAUGUGGCUGCUGGCAGACUUGGGAGUUUCAUGCUCAAUGAGGUCUCUCUAAGCUUAUCAUUAAUAUCAGUCACUCCAAAAACUUCUGUUCUGCAGUGAAAAUUGCUGUCUCUUCACCCUUCUGUUUGUCCUGGCUUGUGUACUUAUUAUAACUUAAAACUACCUCCCAGUAAGUGAUUGAUUCUCUUUCCUUGUGACCCAUUCUCCUGCCUGCUCCCAAACCUCCUUAGUAUUGGCAGUGUCCCUCUAGGCAAAAGUCUGGGAUAAACUAGAGUGGAAUACUUUAUGUGGGCUCUGUUCUCCCAGGGCACUCAGCCUGACACAGUGAAGUUUUACCAGAAAAGAUCUCUGAACUCUGGUUUGGAAAGCAGAGAUGGAAGGGAAUUGCCCUAUAAAGUUUUUUUUUUUCUUCUUUUUUUCCUUCUUCUUUUUUUCCCAGUGAUUCUGAGCCAUCAUACAGCAAGGAUGUGGUGGAAGAUCCACACAGGAGGUUGUCUGGAAU
Numida meleagris (helmeted guineafowl) is the source of this 8300-nucleotide long non-coding RNA. RefSeq lists it as uncharacterized. The record is from RefSeq and is a predicted model, not a curated record. Lineage: Eukaryota; Metazoa; Chordata; Aves; Galliformes; Numididae. The transcript is spliced from 4 exons.